Molecule: ribosomal RNA, 227 nt
Filed under: uncultured fungus
Lineage: Eukaryota; Fungi
Description: partial 18S ribosomal RNA
Rfam family: Eukaryotic small subunit ribosomal RNA
Source: RNAcentral
ACUAGGGAUCGGGCGAUGUUAUCUUUUUGACUCGCUCGGACCUUACGAGAAAUCCAAGUCUUUGGGUUCUGGGGGGAGUAUGGUCGCAAGGCUGAAACUUAAAGAAAUUGACGGAAGGGCACCACCAGGAGUGGAGCCUGCGGCUUAAUUUGACUCAACACGGGGAAACUCACCAGGUCCAGACACAAUAAGGAUUGACAGAUUGAGAGCUCUUUCUUGAUUUGUGG